ACUUGAAUAAUUUAAAUUAAAAUAUUGGUUUGUGGGAUCAAAAAUAUGAAGUAAUCAUUUUAAGUU
Molecule: transfer RNA, 66 nt
Filed under: Zeuzera multistrigata
Lineage: Eukaryota; Metazoa; Arthropoda; Insecta; Lepidoptera; Cossidae
Description: tRNA-His
Source: RNAcentral